UGGGGAAUUUUGCACAAUGGGGGGAACCUUGAUGCAGCGACGCCGCGUGAGGGAUGGAGGCCUUCGGGUUGUGAACCUCUUUCGCUCGUGUGCAAGCCGCUAUUUGGGUAGUGGUGAGUGUAGCGGGUAAAGAAGCGCCGGCUAACUACGUGCCAGCAGCCGCGGUAAUACGUAGGGCGCGAGCGUUGUCCGGAUUUAUUGGGCGUAAAGGGCUUGUAGGCGGUUUGUCGCGCCUGUCGUGUAAUCCUCUGGCUUAACUGGGGGUGUGCGGUGGGUACGGGCAGGCUUGAGGGCGGUAGGGGAGAUUGGAAUUCCUGGUGUAGCGGUGGAAUGCGCAGAUAUCAGGAGGAACACCGGUGGCGAAGGCGGGUCUCUGGGCCGUUACUGACGCUGAGGAGCGAAAGCGUGGGGAGCGAACAGG
Molecule: ribosomal RNA, 421 nt
Filed under: Fusobacteriota bacterium
Lineage: Bacteria; Fusobacteriati; Fusobacteriota
Description: Fusobacteria bacterium partial 16S ribosomal RNA
Rfam family: Bacterial small subunit ribosomal RNA
Source: RNAcentral